AGUGAACGCUGGCGGUAGGCCUAACACAUGCAAGUCGAACGGCAGCACAGUAAGAGCUUGCUCUUACGGGUGGCGAGUGGCGGACGGGUGAUGAAUACAUCGGAAUCUACUUUUUCGUGGGGGAUAACGUAGGGACACUUACGCUAAUACCGCAUACGACCUACGUGUGAAAGCAGGGGAUCUUCGGACCUUGCGCGAUUGAAUGAGCCGAUGUCGGAUUAGCUAGUUGGCGGGGUAAAGGCCCACCAAGGCGACGAUCCGUAGCUGGUCUGAGAGGAUGAUCAGCCACACUGGAACUGAGACACGGUCCAGACUCCUACGGGAGGCAGCAGUGGGGAAUAUUGGACAAUGGGCGAAAGCCUGAUCCAGCCAUACCGCGUGGGUGAAGAAGGCCUUCGGGUUGUAAAGCACUUUUGUUGGGAAAGAAAAGCAGCAGGUUAAUACCCCGCUGUUCUGACGGUACCAAAAGAAUAAGCACCGGCUAACUUCGUG
Molecule: ribosomal RNA, 492 nt
Filed under: uncultured bacterium
Lineage: Bacteria
Description: partial 16S ribosomal RNA
Rfam family: Bacterial small subunit ribosomal RNA
Source: RNAcentral